This 301-nucleotide ribosomal RNA is filed under the name uncultured bacterium. RNAcentral's name for it is "partial 16S ribosomal RNA". It matches the Rfam family "Bacterial small subunit ribosomal RNA", at positions 509 to 807 of the family's 1533-position model. The record is from RNAcentral.
CAGCCGCCGCGGGAAUACGAAGGGGGCUAGCGUUGCUCGGAAUUACUGGGCGUAAAGGGCGCGUAGGCGGACAGUUCAGUCGGGGGUGAAAGCCCGGGACUCAACCUCGGAAUUGCCUUCGAUACUGGCUGUCUUGAGUAUGAGAGAGGUGUGUGGAACUCCGAGUGUAGAGGUGAAAUUCGUAGAUAUUCGGAAGAACACCAAUGGCGAAGGCGACACACUGGCUCAUUACUGACGCUGAGGCGCGAAAGCGUGGGGAGCAAACAGGAUUAGAUACCCGUGUAGUCCCUGUCUCUUAUAC